GUCACUUUGCCGGAGUGGUUAACGGGAUCGCCUGCUAAAAAGCAUCUCAGCGGUUGGGCUUUGCCCGCGAGUGUUCGAAUCGCUCAGGUGACG
This 93-nucleotide transfer RNA is filed under the name Dentipellis sp. KUC8613. Its description in RNAcentral is "tRNA-Ser". It matches the Rfam family "tRNA". From Rfam's summary of the family: Transfer RNA (tRNA) molecules are approximately 80 nucleotides in length. Their secondary structure includes four short double-helical elements and three loops (D, anti-codon, and T loops). The record is from RNAcentral. Lineage: Eukaryota; Fungi; Basidiomycota; Agaricomycetes; Russulales; Hericiaceae.